GAUACACCAUGAUAAAUAAAAUUUAACUAUAAAUAACUUGCAAAUCAAUGAUAACAACUUAUCAAGAUUUUAAUGAUAUUAAAAAUUAAAUUUUGAAAGUUUUUAAAAUACAUUAAAUUUAAGAAAUUACGCUAAUAUAAGAUUUUGAGGAAGGAAAAAUGAAUUCUUUUGAACCGCAAUGAUGGAAAUCCACUUACAAAAUUACAGAGCUCACUUUAGACUAGGAAAUGAUCGAGUUCAGUAUACCCCCACCAUAUUACAGAGAACCCUCUUCCCCCAGAUUUUUGGCCCUAAGAGGUAAAAUAACGUACCUAUGAAUAGAGAAGGUCCCCAGCUAUGCAAAAAUAUAUAAGAUAAAAACAACAGCUUACCAAGAAAAAAAAAGGAACAGACAGGGAAAAAAUG
This 405-nucleotide unclassified non-coding RNA is filed under the name Hevea brasiliensis (rubber tree). Lineage: Eukaryota; Viridiplantae; Streptophyta; Magnoliopsida; Malpighiales; Euphorbiaceae. The record is from RNAcentral.